GCCUGGGUGGCUCAGUCAGUUGAGCAUCCGACUUCGGCUCAGGUCAUGAUCUCGCGGUCUGUGAGUUCAAGCCCCGCUUCGGGCU
Molecule: transfer RNA, 85 nt
Filed under: Felis catus (domestic cat)
Lineage: Eukaryota; Metazoa; Chordata; Mammalia; Carnivora; Felidae
Rfam family: tRNA
About the family: Transfer RNA (tRNA) molecules are approximately 80 nucleotides in length. Their secondary structure includes four short double-helical elements and three loops (D, anti-codon, and T loops).
Source: Rfam by way of RNAcentral